GCUGCCCGGAGCCUCACUUGCUCGAAGUAGAGCACCUGGACGACCACCUGGACAGGUAAUCUCUCGUUUUGCGCUGCGUGAGAGCACGCCUCUUGCGAUAGCUUCUGGACGUCCAUGAGCUUACAGAUUUUUUUUCUUUCUCCCUCCGAAAGGUUGGAAUGGGCCUGUUCAAGCGGACAAGCGAGGAAAAACGUUUUGUUUUUUACUUGUUAGAACACACUGAAGAACAAAGCACGUAAGUUAAAAAAACUUUGAGUUGUUUUACUCACCUUGAGAUAGAUGUCGAUUGCUCGGUACAAUCCAUCGUUGACAACUCUUGCGUAGUCCGGGACGAGCUCGGCCAGAGCGUAGAACUUGAGGAGCUUGAGGUUUGUAUCGGGAGCAAUCUCCGCGAGGUAAUUGUCUAUGAGCUUUGCGACUUUGAUGGCUGCGCUUUGUGACGGGGGACUGGUACUCUCAGAUUCGUAGCCGCCGGCUUGAGAGUCUUCCUUCUCCUUGUGCUGGAGGAAGUUUAUCACCAGUCUUUGGACGACGUCCACAUCGAACAAGGUGUCGCAAGUGAAGGACAUGGAUGGUAUGAGUAGAUCGUCCAGCGCUGCCUGAUCCAUUUGCAUUCCUAUUCUUUGCUCCAGCUCGAUGCGGCAGCUGAUGGAUGCGUCUAGAAUUAUGGCCGAGCGAAGCAAGCCAAAGAGGAAGCUGCAGCUUAUAGAGUUCUUCUCGCAAGGUAGCAUGCUUGUAAGUGUUUCCACUAAUGCUCGUUGUUCCUGCUCCAGAAUUGAAGGAAUACCAGAGUCGUGAACCGUUGCUGCUG
RNAcentral lists this long non-coding RNA (811 nucleotides) under Selaginella moellendorffii. RNAcentral's name for it is "long non-coding RNA (SMOE_LNC000061)". The record is from RNAcentral. Lineage: Eukaryota; Viridiplantae; Streptophyta; Lycopodiopsida; Selaginellales; Selaginellaceae.